This 497-nucleotide ribosomal RNA is filed under the name uncultured bacterium. Its description in RNAcentral is "partial 16S ribosomal RNA". It matches the Rfam family "Bacterial small subunit ribosomal RNA", at positions 28 to 507 of the family's 1533-position model. The record is from RNAcentral.
GAUGAACGCUGGCGGCGUGCCUAAUACAUGCAAGUCGAGCGAACAGAUGAGGCGCUUGCUCCUCUGACGUUAGCGGCGGACGGGUGAGUAACACGUGGAUAACCUACCUAUAAGACUGGGAUAACUUCGGGAAACCGGAGCUAAUACCGGAUAAUAUAUUGAACCGCAUGGUUCAAUAGUGAAAGACGGUUUUGCUGUCACGUAUAGAUGGAUCCGCGCCGCAUUAGCUAGUUGUUAAGGUAACGGCUUACCACGGCGACGAGGCGUAGACGACCUCAGAGGCUGGUAGGCGACCUUGGAGCUGAGACACCGACCAGACUCCUACGGGAGGCAGCAGUAGGGAAUCUUCCGCAGUGGGCGAAAGCAUGACAGAGCAACGCCGCGUGAGUGAUGAAGGUCUUCGGAGCGUAAAGAUCUGUUAUUAGUGAAGAACAAAUGUGUAAGUAACUAUGCCCGGCGUGACGGUACCUAGUCAGAAAGCCACGGCUAACUACGUG